Molecule: long non-coding RNA, 395 nt
Organism: Brienomyrus brachyistius
Lineage: Eukaryota; Metazoa; Chordata; Actinopteri; Osteoglossiformes; Mormyridae
Exons: 3
Source: RefSeq, a predicted model, not a curated record
GUCUUUCAUUAAGCUGCUCGUAUGAGAGCAAGAUGAGGCUGUGUGAGAUGUUUCCAUGGACCUGUUUCACAGCAUUGGUUUAUUUUAGCCAAUCGGCAGAGUCCUGGCCUCAGGCUCGGCUGACAGCAGAUCCUCCAGGGUCAGACGUGUUCCUAGGAGAGAAUGUUACUCUCACCUGUCGGGUCACUGGGUCUGAGGGAUGGAAAUAUAUCUGGACCAAAGAGACAAAUGGAGCCACCUUUCAGCUUCUGCGCAGCAGUGGGCAAGAUGGUGAAACGUACAUCCUGCAACCUGUGAGAAAGUCUGACCGAGGACUUUAUCAGUGUAGCGGACUUAGAGGAAGUGAACUUUCUUACAGCAACUCUCACAGCCUGCAAGUGCAUGGUAAGUUAUUA